RNAcentral lists this ribosomal RNA (303 nucleotides) under uncultured bacterium. Its description in RNAcentral is "partial 16S ribosomal RNA". It matches the Rfam family "Bacterial small subunit ribosomal RNA", at positions 507 to 808 of the family's 1533-position model. The record is from RNAcentral.
AGCAGCAGCCGCGGGAAUACGUAGGUGGCAAGCGUUGUCCGGAAUUAUUGGGCGUAAAGGGCUCGCAGGCGGUUUCUUAAGUCUGAUGUGAAAGCCCCCGGCUCAACCGGGGAGGGUCAUUGGAGACUGGGAAACUUGAGUGCAGAAGAGGAGAGUGGAAUUCCACGUGUAGCGGUGAAAUGCGUAGAGAUGUGGAGGAACACAGUGGCGAAGGCGACUCUCUGGUCUGUAACUGACGCUGAGGAGCGAAAGCGUGGGGAGCGAACAGGAUUAGAUACCCCUGUAGUCCCUGUCUCUUAUACA